RNAcentral lists this ribosomal RNA (591 nucleotides) under Hypholoma dispersum. Its description in RNAcentral is "eukaryotic LSU rRNA". It matches the Rfam family "Eukaryotic large subunit ribosomal RNA", at positions 1 to 591 of the family's 3401-position model. Lineage: Eukaryota; Fungi; Basidiomycota; Agaricomycetes; Agaricales; Strophariaceae. The record is from RNAcentral.
UUGACCUCAAAUCAGGUAGGACUACCCGCUGAACUUAAGCAUAUCAAUAAGCGGAGGAAAAGAAACUAACAAGGAUUCCCCUAGUAACUGCGAGUGAAGCGGGAAAAGCUCAAAUUUAAAAUCUGGCGGUCUUUGGCCGUCCGAGUUGUAAUCUAGAGAAGUGUUAUCCGCGCUGGACCGUGUACAAGUCUCCUGGAAUGGAGCGUCAUAGAGGGUGAGAAUCCCGUCUUUGACACGGACUGCCAGGGCUUUGUGAUGCGCUCUCAAAGAGUCGAGUUGUUUGGGAAUGCAGCUCAAAAUGGGUGGUAAAUUCCAUCUAAAGCUAAAUAUUGGCGAGAGACCGAUAGCGAACAAGUACCGUGAGGGAAAGAUGAAAAGAACUUUGGAAAGAGAGUUAAACAGUACGUGAAAUUGCUGAAAGGGAAACGCUUGAAGUCAGUCGCAUUGUCUGGGAAUCAACCUUGCUUUUGCUGGGCGUACUUUCCAGAUGAUGGGUCAGCAUCAAUUUUGACCGUUGGAUAAAGUCCGAAGGAAUGUGGCAUCUUCGGGUGUGUUAUAGCCUUUGGUCGCAUACAACGGUUGGGAUUGAGG